Paramuricea clavata is the source of this 490-nucleotide non-coding RNA. The record is from the annotation of a GenBank genome assembly. NCBI's taxonomy places the organism in Eukaryota, Metazoa, Cnidaria, Anthozoa, Malacalcyonacea, Plexauridae.
GUUCAGAAUUUCCCGUGCAGGAUUGUCUGAUCCUGCACGGCUGUUGACCAAUCAAAUUGCGUGUUUCACUGUAGUUAUUAUAUAAUAUAUUUUACUAUCGCGCAAGCGAGUAUAAUUACAUCAUUUUCUAAUUUACUUUAAAGCGUUAAGAACUGUCAGAAAAGACAGCAAUACAAUAGCCUAUAUUAUACUCAUUUUGUAAUUUAGUUGCAUCGUUUUCAAACCGUCAUAACUGCCUAUUUUGUAAUUUACGUCGUCAAGGACAAUUAUAGGGCGGCUAGAUUAUAGAAUACCCGUCCACUUUUGUGACUAUUUUAUUUUCGUGAUACGAUGAUACGAAGUGAAAGUCAUGACGUAAUCAUUUUAGUAGCGAGUUAUUAUAAAAAGCCUAUAAGAUGAUACGAAGUGAAAAUAAUGACGUCAUUAUUAUAAGUCGCGUCAUUUAUUAGGACUGGGCAAGGUAUUUUUUCAGUGAUACGAUGAUACGAAG